CCUUUUGGAUCUCUGGCUCAUAACAGGAGUUAGGUUUCAUUUGGAAUUACGAAAAAAUUGCGUUAUGUACGAUAAGAAAGUACGUUGAGUGGUUCGCAUAUCGCAGUGAGUCGGUUACGAUAUAUUUUACGAUAUAUUUUUUUCAGUUCCAUCGGAGAACGCAAAAGUAUAUUUCUAUAUACUUUAUCCCAACUCUAACGUUAGUUUAAUCUCAAUACCAAACUAAGCCUUAUGACAAUAUUGUUCUCGUCAAAUGUUGCUGUU
Molecule: long non-coding RNA, 264 nt
Filed under: Ananas comosus (pineapple)
Lineage: Eukaryota; Viridiplantae; Streptophyta; Magnoliopsida; Poales; Bromeliaceae
Description: long non-coding RNA (ACOM_LNC020134)
Source: RNAcentral